UCUAAUAUGGCAGAUUAUUGUAUUGAAUUUAAGAUUCAAAUAUAAAAUUUUUAAAAAUUUUUUUUAGAA
Molecule: transfer RNA, 69 nt
Filed under: Microplitis manilae
Lineage: Eukaryota; Metazoa; Arthropoda; Insecta; Hymenoptera; Braconidae
Also listed under: 1 other name
Description: tRNA-Leu
Source: RNAcentral